Non-coding RNA from Schistosoma mattheei, 51 nucleotides. NCBI's taxonomy places the organism in Eukaryota, Metazoa, Platyhelminthes, Trematoda, Strigeidida, Schistosomatidae. The record is from Rfam.
AUCCAGCUGAAGACGAGUCCCAAAUAGGACAAAACGUUCGUCAAACUGGAU